UACAGAGGUCCCAAGCGUUGUUCGGAUUCACUGGGCGUAAAGGGUGCGCAGGUGGUUUGGCAAGUUUGACGUGAAAGCCCCGGGCUUAACCCGGGAACGGCGUUGAAAACUGCUUGAACUGGAGGGUCGGAGGGGGGACUGGAAUUCUUGGUGUAGCAGUGAAAUGCGUAGAUAUCAAGAGGAACACCAGUGGCGAAGGCGAGUCCCUGGACGAUACCUGACACUGAGGCACGAAAGCCAAGGGAGCAAACAGG
RNAcentral lists this ribosomal RNA (254 nucleotides) under uncultured bacterium. RNAcentral describes it as "partial 16S ribosomal RNA". It matches the Rfam family "Bacterial small subunit ribosomal RNA", at positions 524 to 776 of the family's 1533-position model. The record is from RNAcentral.